UGGGGAAUAUUGCACAAUGGGGGAAACCCUGAUGCAGCAACGCCGCGUGAGUGAAGAAGUAUUUCGGUAUGUAAAGCUCUAUCAGCAGGGAAGAAGAAAGACGGUACCUGAGUAAGAAGCCCCGGCUAACUACGUGCCAGCAGCCGCGGUAAUACGUAGGGGGCAAGCGUUAUCCGGAAUUACUGGGUGUAAAGGGAGCGUAGACGGUGAUGUAAGUCUGGAGUGAAAGGCCGGGGCCCAACCCCGGGACUGCUCUUGGAACUGCGUGGCUAGAGUGCAGGAGGGGCAGGCGGAAUUCCUGGUGUAGCGGUGAAAUGCGUAGAUAUCAGGAGGAACACCAGUGGCGAAGGCGGCUUACUGGACGGUAACUGACGUUGAGGCUCGAAAGCGUGGGGAGCAAACAGG
This 405-nucleotide ribosomal RNA is filed under the name uncultured bacterium. Its description in RNAcentral is "bacterial SSU rRNA". It matches the Rfam family "Bacterial small subunit ribosomal RNA", at positions 355 to 776 of the family's 1533-position model. The record is from RNAcentral.